This 614-nucleotide unclassified non-coding RNA is filed under the name Hevea brasiliensis (rubber tree). The record is from RNAcentral. Lineage: Eukaryota; Viridiplantae; Streptophyta; Magnoliopsida; Malpighiales; Euphorbiaceae.
CCAAAGGAAAUAUUUUCUUCACCUAAAACAAGGAAAAAGAAACCAAAUCAGGGGAAAAUGAGAUAAAAUCCAAUGUUUUCAUUGCAUUUGCUUUUUAUCCCAACUCUGUGAGCUUAGCAAAACUAGCCGGUCUCAAGCCCGGAUAAAGGAAGAAGGUUGCUGUAAGUUGAUGGCAAGCAUAAAAUUCAGUCAUCUCUCAUGAUAUAUAUGCACUGAAUAUCCUGAAAAGGCUUCCUAGUAUCAUGCUUUCUCAUUUGUAAAAGGAACAAAAAAUGAAGCGAAGUAUAAUGAUUCCACAAAUUUACUUUAGCAGGUUAAGCAAAAUAAUUGUACACUAUAUCUUUGUGGGCAUAUCACACAGAGUUCUGAUUUGUUAAGUAGUGUCUCAUAGUCCCUGAUAGAAAUGUAUAGAUUGAAAGCAAACCAAUAAGGUUUUUUAUUAUGAUUUCCACAUUGGUCUUAACUUUUUUUUUUAAACUGAAUAUCGGUCUUAAACCUUGUUCAAGCCCAUAGGGGAAAAAAAAAUUUUAAGAUAUAAGCUUUCACUGUUUCAGCUUGACUCUUUAGGGUCAAACCAAAUGUACCACUUGCCUGAUCAAAGUGGAUGAACAUGU